GUCGCUCCUACCGAUUUCGAGUGGUCCGGUGAAGCUUUUGGACUGCUUAUGGCUUCGUGCCAUGAGCGGAAAGUCAGCUAAACCUUAUCACUUAGAGGAAGGAG
RNAcentral lists this ribosomal RNA (104 nucleotides) under uncultured eukaryote. RNAcentral describes it as "partial small subunit ribosomal RNA". It matches the Rfam family "Eukaryotic small subunit ribosomal RNA", at positions 1675 to 1785 of the family's 1831-position model. The record is from RNAcentral.